AUGCUCGACAACGGCGACCUCCUCCCGGCCUCCCGCGACAAGGCCGUGUCCGUGCUCGCCGCCUUCGCGUCCUCCGACGCCGGCUGCCUGUUCCUGGCCCAGGAGUCGGGCACCGUCGUGCCCCACCUCUGCCGCGCGCUGGAGUCCGGCGGUGCCAGCGCAGAGCAGGCGUGCGUCGCGCUGGAGCCGCUCACCGCCUCGUCGCGGGACGCGGCGGCCGCCGUCUCGGCGCGCGGCGGCGUGGCCGCGCUCCUCGUGGCCUGCGCCGCCGGCACCCCGGCGUCGCAGGCCGCCGCCGCGGGCGUGCUCCGGAACAUCGCCGCGUUCCCGGACCUGCUCCCCGCGUUCCGCGACGAGGGCGCGCUCCCGCUGAUCGUGCAGCUCGUCUCACUCGGCACGCCGCGGACGCAGGAGCUCGCGCUUGGCUGCCUCCAGAACCUGACGGCCAGCGACGGCGACGAGGGGCAGAGGCUCAAGGUCGAGGCUUUCCAAGAAGGCGCGCUCGGCUGCGUCAAGGACUUCCUGGAGUCCUGCCGCGGCGACGCGCCGGGCCUCGCGCCGGCAUUCGGGCUCCUCCGCAACAUGGCCACCUUCCGCUACAUCGCGGAGAUAGCCGUGUCCGCCGGCUUCGUCAGCCACGUCCUGGCCGCGCUGGGCAGCGACAGGGCCAGCACCCGCACAGAGGCCGCCAUGGCGCUAGCAGAACUCUGCAGCGUGAGCAGCAGCAGCAAGGCGAGGAAGGAGGCCGGGGGCGCGAUGCCGAGGCUGAUCUGGAUGCUGGAGGCCAAGGCCGUGGCCGAGAGGGACGCCGCGGCGAGGGCGCUGGCGACGCUGGUGGUGGCGGCGAGCAGCCACCGGAAGGCGUUCAAGAAGGACGAGAUGGGCAUCGUGAACGCGGUCCAGCUGCUGGACCCGGCCGUCCGGGGCGCCGACAAGCGGUUCCCCGUUUCCCUUUUGCUGGCCGUGGCGCAGUCCCGGCGGUGCCGGAAGCAGAUGGUGGCCGCCGGCGCGUGCGGGUUCCUGCAGGGGCUCCUGGCCGCGGAGGUGGACGGCGCCAAGAAGCUCUCCGAGUGCCUCGGCCGGGGCAAGAUGCUCGGCGUGUUCCCCCGGACAUGA
This 1116-nucleotide ribosomal RNA is filed under the name Triticum aestivum (bread wheat). Its description in RNAcentral is "partial small subunit ribosomal RNA". Lineage: Eukaryota; Viridiplantae; Streptophyta; Magnoliopsida; Poales; Poaceae. The record is from RNAcentral.